AAUUUCUGUUGACUCGUUAUUUUUUAAUAUUUGAUAUAUUUUGGCUUCUUGCCCUUUUCAUUUGAUUAAUGGGAUUCUUCCAUUCUAUAUAUAUAUAAAAUAUGUGUUGUUAGAAAAAAUGUCCUAUAUAAUUUUUUUUUAUCCCAAACUACAUUGUCAGGUGAUUUCUUUUCACCUUUUAAAAGCAUUUGACUUCUUGCUAACAUCUGCUGCAGCCCUUCCACAUCCACAAAAUAUUCCAGUUUCUAUUCUUCACAGUCUGUUCGUGAAGGGUGACAUGAUGGGGUUUGAACUGGGAGAGGAUGACUUGGAGGCUUCUGGGCUAUAUCCAGACCUGGAAUUUAGAACAAUCGAUCAACUUCUUGAUAUUUUUCUCACUAGCCCUCCAGAUCCUGCAGCUGCUGCUUUUGAAUGAGUUUUAUGAUCUGUGAUUUCCAUGUCUUGAAUUUGUUUUCUUGUUUGUAACGUCCGCAGAUAGACGGACAUCUAAAAGGUCAGGUUACUCUGGUCUACGUUCGUAUUGUGUUGGGUUACUUGUUCACGCAUCAUGUUUAUCACAUGAAAGUUUCUUCUUUUUUUUUCUUUUUUUUUUGCUUUCCUUAUCAUUUUCUCGAGUUCAAGAUUGUGUGACUUUUUUUUUUUUUUAGUACUCGAGAUGCUAUUAAAAGAGGACCAGAUUACCAAUAAGUUAAUGUAAAUCUAGUUGGUAGGGGAGAAGAGUUCGGACCCAGAGAGAAAAAAAGAUGGCAGGAAAACAAGAGCAAAAACUAUACACAAGUCAGCAUUAAUUAGACCAGAGUAGAAUGCCUUGGGGACCUCUUAGCAGAUCAUCCCCACUGUAGGUGAAAUUAGAGUCUAGAGUUCUGAGCCUCUGAAGAAUGAGAUCAAAGAUGGAAUUCCAAUCUUUAUCCGUAGUGUUUGGCAUACACCAACUGGUACCGAUCCAGUUUAUAAAAUGUUGCCAUAAUUUCCAAGAUUUAUAGCCAUGAGAUUUAUACUCUAGUGCCACAGAAAGGACAAGAUGCUUCUUCUAGUGUAAUUAAAUUUCUCUUUACAAGGAUGCAUCUUGAAGUAUAGAAAGAAAGAUGGAGAAGUUUUCAUAAAACAAUUUAGUUAGUUUAUUAAUUUUAAUAAAUUAAUUUUUUUACAAAUUUGACUGCAAAAAAAUAAUUUGUUGGGAUAGGGCUGGCAAUGAUAUUAUCGAGAAGGUUUGAGAUAAUUAUAACACAACUAAGUAAGAUUGAAUUCAAUUUGUAUUUUUUAUUAUUUUUUUAAAAAUUCAGAUUUUUUUUAUGUUUUGAAUUAUUUUAAUAUGCUAAUUUAAAAAAAAUAAUAUUAUUUUAAUAUAUUUCAGAAAAAAAACAACUGCAAAAACUUUAAAAAUUAUUAAAUUAAAUUUUUAGUAUUUGUUUUUGAUAAUUUUAAUAUAUUUAUAUAAAAAGUUAAAAUAAUAUUAUUUUAAUAUAUUUUUAGAUAAAAAAUAUUAAAAAAAAAAACAUUUUGAGAAGACAUUAUCAUGUACACACAGUUCACAGGUUGAAGGUCAAAGAAGGGAACCUCACAUCACAGAAAUUACUCCUGUUGGAAAGUGAUUUAUCGUACUGACAAGAGACCACACACCGAAGAAAUAUUAAAGAAUUGAAGUGAAGUGGGGUGGGGACCAUCCUAACUCCAUUUAAAACAUUGCUGUGUGUUUAUGUCAAACCUGCGCACCACCUAGUACAUAGGACCCUUCAAUAAUUCUACCUUGCUCACACAACACAUGAAACACGGUUCAGCCUUGGUAAGCCGCCUUCCAUUUGUCCGACCUUCGUUUUCUUUUUCUUUUUUUAUAAAAAUUUAUUAAAAUAAUAUUUUUUAUUUUUAAAAAAUUUAAUUUUUAUACUGCCAUCCCAUUAAUAUUUGAAUCACAUUCCUAAAAUGUUUUUGUGUUUUAAAAUUAUUUUAAAAAAAUUAAUUCUUUUUAUUUUUUUAAUUUUAAAUUAAUAUUUUUUAGUAUUUUUAAAUUAUUUUAAUACAUAGAUAUCAAAAAUAAUUUUUUAAAAAUAAUUUAUUUUUUAUUUUAAUAUAUUUUUAAAUAAAAAAUAUUUUAAAAAACAAUCACAAAAAAAACUUACAAACAAGCUUUAAAAUGAGUCCGAGUACAGAGAAAGAUGAAGAUGCUAGUAAUACGUGGAAGAAGAUAUGCUACCUAUGCUAGGAAAACAUCCUUUAUUUAAAUAUUCUAAAUUGAAAUUCCAUCCAAAAGUUACAAAACAAAGCAAACAUAGGAGGAUAUUUGGUUACACCUUCCACCUUUUGAAUUCUCAAGCCAUCAACCCUUCAAAAUUUGAGGUCUGAUGAAAAAUUGCAUUAAAUAAUAAUAAAUGAAGGGGAAAAAGAACUAACUACUCCCUUUUCCAUUCAAGGAAACCAUCGUGUAUUUGAAUUGAUUCAAAUUCAAAUCUGAAAUCUUUUUUAUUAGGGUUUGUAUUUAUGGGAUUCAAUCAACAUAUCCGAUUUUUAAACGAAACAACUCAAAACUGCAAAUCCUUGUUAAAGGAAGAGGGGCCUGAGCGGGAGUGAUUUUUUGGAUAAUGGGUUGACUCUGACUCGGGCUUGAACCAUCCAAAACUACCCGCCCUUGAUCAUCUUUUACUUUUCCAGAUUUUUGCCCAGUUCAUUUCCAAAAAUAGGUUUGCUUUGGAGGUUUGAUGCUGUUAAUGUAAUUCCAAGGGUUUGGUUGGUGAAUAAAGAAUUUUGUUUCCUUUUUAAAAAAUUUUGUAAUUGACUAAUUAUUCUAAAUUCAACAUCAGACAGACCAACAAGUAAUUGUGAUACUUGUUCUUUAGAUUUUUAACUUCAUCAUAUCCUUCAGCCACUUGAUACCACUAACAUGUUUCUAUAGUUUAGACUCUUUAUUAAUGUGUAUUAAAAUGCUUGAAUUUAAUUUAAAAAAUUACUUUGGCAUUUAUUUUUUAUUUUUUCGUAUAAAAAAGAGUGUUGAAUUUAUUGUUUUUGAGUCAUCGUAUUUUCACUACAAGAUUUCACAGUUUUACCGACGGAAAAAUUCCGUCGGUGUGUGAUUAGAAGUUCGUCGGUGAUUUUUUUACUGACGUCAUCACCGACGGAUUACGUCUGUCGGCUUUCCUUUCGUCGGUGAUUCCCCCUUCCGUCGCUAUAUCGGAUGGAAAAACAAAAAAACCAUUUGCCGAUGGUUUUACAGACGGAAUUUGCGCGCCAAAAAAAAAGAUUCCCGCUUGAAAUAUGCCGACGGAUUUGUAUUCCGUCGGUGAUAUUGUGAUUGACCGACGGAAACUAAUCGUCAGUAAAUCUGUCGGUGAGUGUAUGAAAUACCGACCGAAUAUAUCCGUCUGUAAAUUCGUCGGUACUAGUGGCAGCUACUGUUAAAUGCCGACGGAUUAAUUCCGUCGGUAAAUCUGUCGGUGAGUGUAUGAAAUACCGAUCGAAUAUAUCCGUCUGUAAAUUCGUCGGUACUAAUGGCAGCUACUGUUAAAUGCCGACGGAUUAAUUCCGUCGGUGAGUGUUUAAAAUACCGACCAAAUUAAUCUGUCGGUAAAAUCCUUGGUAAUAGUUUUUUUCUAAAUUUGUUUUUAAAAAAUUAUUUAGGAUAUAUAAUAUAAAACUAUAUAAAUUAAUUGUAAUACAAACCAAUUAUGCAAAUAAAAUUUAUAUUAAACAUUAAAAAAAAACAAAGUUAAAUAAUAUUCAUUACAAACUGAAUAUGUUUCAAGAAAAAUAUUAAAUGAAGUUUUAAAGGUAAAUAAUGUUUAUUACAAAUUAAUAUAAAGGUGGAGCUGGAGGAGGAGGAGGAGAUCCUGGAGGAGGCUGGUGGUUAUACGGCCAAAAAAGAUUAGGUGCACAUGUUCCACUAUUUGCCAUGUUCAUAAUCAUUUCGCGAAGCUGUUCAUAAGCCGUUUUUUGUUGUUCAGACUCUGCUUUUUGUUGUGCUUGAGACGCUUUGAUUUGCUCAGACUCCGCUCUUUGUUCCGCUCUUUGUUGUGCAUGAGACGCUUUGAGUUGUGCGUACUCCGCUGAUAGGUUAUCGUAUUUCUCGGUGAGCUGAGUCGUGUGUUGCUGCAAGGCCACGAACUCCUUAGAUUGGGAGCUCGAUAUUGAUUGGGAGCUCCCAACGGUUGAAACACUAUGGGUCGACCGCAAGUUGUCGGCCGUAGUGUUGGAGAGCCCGUAAAUCCGAUUUUUAUCGGGUCCACCUGACGAGCCAACCUCCAUCCACAAAUCCGGAUCGAAUUCCGGAUGGGUCAAAAUAUCGUCCCCGUAUCUCUCCCUCAACCGAUUAUUAUAGGUCUCCUGAAAAUAAAAUAAAAAGUAAUCAUCAUAUUCAAUACAAUAAACAUAAUAACUUACAUAAUAACUUACAAAAUAAAAUGGUUGAACAAACAUACCACGAAAUGUUGAGCACGGUUAUCAACGAACUGUUGCGCCCCCUUCUGGCGGUCUUGAUUCUGCACGUGCGUCUCCACAAACAGCUCGAUCGGGCUCGGCUCACGUCUAAGAGACGCAGCCUAUAAUGAAAAAAGAUGUAUUAACAACAACUGAAUUUAACGAUAUAUUUCAUUUAAAUUAAUCUUACCAUCCGUUUCGCAUGUGCAGCAAACGGAACAGAGCCGCCAGUGUGCGUUGUCACCCCGCCAUGAAUUGGCUGAUUCCGGUUGCCAGCACCGGACUGUGAGCGUCGUGUGAACCGCUCAGACGUCACGUGCUCAAGAUAGUGCGGCCAUAUAUCUUCCGGGAUGUAUAUCGGUUUGAAAUCCCUCCAAACCGCAACAUCGUUCCAGCCUUGGAAACCCCUAUCCCUCGCGGUUUUUUUUGCCUUUUUUUGUGCUUCAUACCAAAAAUCACGCAACCUACUUCACGCAACCAAAAAUUACAUUUCGAAACAUAAAUUUUUGUCUAAAAAAAUCUUGUAUUGUUUUCGAUCUUACCUAAUUGCCGCGUGAUUUUCCCACACCCUCCUCACAACAGUGUUAUGCUCACUGUCCCAGCAGAAUUUGUGCUGUGUAUAAAUAAACAAGUUUAAAUAAAAAUAAUAAUUUAUUUACAAUUAUAUUAAUAAGCUGAAAAUUAUAAAUUAAUACCAACCUCAAACCUGUUAAACCAUGCAUUGAUUUGAGGCAUCCAUUCAGGAUGCUUGGAUAUCUAACUCCAUUGAAACAAUGGAAUCUCCAUCGACGAUUUAAACGCCGAUGAUAUUACUCGGGCGGCUUCAAUGUUUGUGAACCUGAAAAUAAAUGAAAUAAAUUCAAUAGUGAUUACUUCAUAAAUUAUGUUGUAAUUUUUUUUUAAAAAAAACUAAAACCUUAACAAACUUACAUUGAAAGGUUGUUCUUCCACUGUGCCUCGUACUUGCGGGUAAAUUGAUUUCGUUGCGAAGGCACGCCGCCUUUGCGCUGUGAAGUACUGCUGGAAGAGGCAGCAUCGGUUGACGGCGCAGGUGGUGUAGGUGCCUCUUCUUGAGAGGCACCUAAGGAAAUAUCAUCCUCGCUGCUAGACGAACUAGCUGCGACCAUACUUGAGCGACCAGCUCUGGUUUUCGUUCUACGCAUCUACACAAUUUUAUACAAAUAAUUAUAUAAUUAAAUUCAAAUGUAAAAAAAAAAAUUCGACAGCACCUCCCCUAUACCGGAUACUACCCAAAUCCACAAACCUGCACAUAUUAACAAUAGCCACAACCAAUUUACCCAAUCUAUACUAAUUAUUCCAACAUAUUCAAUUACUAAUCCUAAGGUAAAUUCAACAUUAAGAAUUACAAUUCAACAAAUUAUUCAAUAAUUAUGCCAAUACAACAAAACAAUAAAUUAAAAAAAAAAAACUAUAGAAUAACAAUCAAAAUAAAUGGAAAAAAUUAAACACAAAGCAUGCAAUAAUAGAGUAAAAUUAAUAAUUAUUCCAACAUAUUCAAUUACUAAUUCUAUGGUAAAUUCAACAUUAACAAUAAAUAUUCAACAAAUUAACUAAUAAUAAUUAUGCCAAUACAACAAUAAAAAAUAUUCAAUAAAUUCAAAAAAAAAACUAUAGACUUUAGCAAUGAAUUAUGCAAAAAAAACUAUAGACUUUAUCUACAUUACAAAAAAUACACCAAAACAAAAAACAUAACAAAAAAAAUAGCAAAACAAAACCCUUAAAGUAAAAUGAAAUAGAAGAAAUACAAACCUUUUAAACUGAUGGAGAUUCACGAGAUAAGAUGCUAGAGAUCGCUGGUGAAACCUUUGAAGAAACCUUUGAAGAACGGAGUGAAGAACCGAGAGGAAAAGAAUCGGUGAAAAACUGAGGAGAAGAAAAAAUUAACUGAAGAGGCGGUCGGGGGAACUUAAAUGCCAGUUUUACCGAUGGAUUCAUCGACGGAUAUAAAAUUAAUUAUUAUUUUAAUUUAUUCCGUCGGUGAGGUGUUAAAAAUCCAUCGGUAAAUUUUGAAUUUCGCACCAAAUUUUUCAAUGACCCUCCAUAUUUUUCGUGGUCCGUCGGUAAAUCCAUCGACAAUAUGACGCGGCCAGAGAUGCAUUUAAUGCACAACCCUUUGAAAUUCGCGCGGUCCGUCGGGAAUUUUAUCGGUAAAAUUGACCCGCCGACAACGUGUCGACGGUUAUAAAUUCGUCGGUAUGCACGUUGGUGAAUGUGGCAUUUCAAGUAAUUAUUUUCGAACUCUCUGUGAAAUACCGACGGACUUAAGGCCGUCGGUGAUGUGGUGGCAUUUCAAGUAAUUAUUUUCGAACUCUCUGUGAAAUGCCGACGGACUUAAGGCCGUCGGUGUGGCCAUGUGGUGGCAUUUCAAAUAAUGAUUUUCGAACUCUCUGUGAAAUGACAACGGACUUAAGGCUGUCGGUGUGGCCAUGUGGUGGCAUUUCAAGUAAUUAUUUCGAACUCUCUGUGAAAUGCCAACGGACUUAAGGCCGUCGGUGAUGUGGUGGCAUUUCAAGUAUUUAUUUCAUUUUACAAAAUAUAUCAUCCAUGAUCAAUAAUUAUUUCAAGUAAUUAUUUCGUAAUUGUGGCAUUUCAACUAAUUAUUUCAAGUAAUAAAUAUUUUGUGUUUCAAAAUAUAUCAUCCAUAAUCUAAAUUACUUGAAAAAAGGGUUUUACAUAGGGCUUCAUUUUGGUAGUUAGUCAGAAAUUUCUUCUUUUUCGUCAUCAAUUGAAUUGUCAUCACCUUCAUCGCAAUCUUCAAUAUGAAUAUCAUCUUCUUCAUCGAUAUUUGCUUGUCCGCUAGAGCUCAAAACAAAAUUCAACUCCUCUGCGUCAACAUCAACAAGACUAUUAUCGAAGACAUGAAAAUUUGAAUUUUCUUCCAAUUCAAUCAAAGGAGCAACUCGAUAUGGUUCAACCACCUCACUAACUUGAAAGACUUCAUCUCGCACGCUUGUGUCUUCGUUCUCAUCCUGAACAACCUCGACACGACCCUGGGGUUUCGUUUUUAAAACGGACAACCAAUCCACUCUUGAUCGAUCCUUUCUAAAUGAAGGGGUGUAUGUGUAACAAACUUGUUGACAUUGCUUUGCGAAAACAAAGACAUCGUUUAUGUUGCGGAGUCUAGCUUUUGAGUUGAUUUCGACCAGACCAUAGUGCGGAUCAACUCUAAUUCCUCUGUCAGUCGUGUCAUACCAAUAGCAUUUGAAUAAAAACACUAUAUUCUGCUCGUUAUGAUAUUGCAGUUCGACGACCUCUUCUAAUCUACCAUAGUAGUCAACCUCUAACUCACUACUAGUGGAUCCCUUAACACAAACACCGCUGUUGUAUGUCUUUCUUCCUUGCCCGUAUUUUUCAGUAUGGAAAACAUAUCCAUUGACAAAAUACCCGUUGUAGCACUUACAUUUUCUUUCAGGCCCCAGGCUUAGUGAAGACAAUGACUUAGGUGCACUCCUUCCCAUUUGAUAAACCUUGUAUGUAAUGUACAUCAAUAAACAGUAAAUGAACGAGAAUCUCGUAAUGACAUGCAUACGUACAAUAAUUUUGCAAGUUAGAAUGAGUUUGUGAUAGUGCUUACAUGUGUUCUGAACCACAUGACAAACUGCUCAUCUUGUAAUUGAAAGAUCUAGGAUUCGGUCAGCUGUGAGUUAUUGGAGAGCAAAUAUUGUCGAUGUUGCCUCCAAGUGAUAAUGAGUGUAUGAUAUUACAAUAUAUAAUUAACAGUAUAUUACUAACAAAGUUUAAUUAGUAUAGACUUACUGAAUAAAAGGUCUCAGCUCAUCACAGUUAAAUAGAACAUAGUUGUGUGCUUGUUUGAACUCUAUUUUCGACAAAUAUCUUCCUCUUAUGGCAUUUUUAGGUGUGGGUCGUCCAAUAUUGGAGAAUAUUGACAAGUUCCCACUGGAAGGCACUUCACCGCCAUCAUCAUGUCGUGGAAUGCGAUUGAUUCUCGUUCUUAGGUGAGGUUCGAAAUAGUACGAGAUAAAUGUUGAGAUCUCCUCAACAAUAUAGGCCUCACAUAUCGAAGCCUCAACAUGCGCCUUGUUCUUAACCUUUUUCUUGAGAUUAAACAAGUACCUGCAUUGAAAUAUUAAUCAAGUAUUUUCAAUUAAGAAAAACAUAUAAAAUACUUUUAUAUAUGAAUUACAUUGCAACUGUAAUAUCUAACCGUUCGAAUGGGUACAUCCAUCUAUAUUGGACCGGUCCUCCAGCUUUUGCCUCGAACGGUAGAUGUAUAGGGAGAUGCUCCAUUGAGUCAAAAAAUGAUGGAGGGAAUAUCAUCUCAAGUUUGCAUAGUAUCUCGACGAUAUUCGUUUGAAGCCUCUCAAUGUGAUUAACAUUCAACUUGCUGGAGCAUAUAUCUCUGAAGAAAUGACUGAUCUCCGUGAGUGCAUCCCAUAUGCCCUUUGGCAACAAAUCACGAAAAGCUAAUGGGAUGAGUGUUUGCAUAAACACGUGGCAGUCAUGACUCUUCAUUCCAUACAAUCUGCAGUCCUCUAUAUUAACCAGCCUUGAUAUGUUCGAUGCAUGUCUAUCUAGAAAACGCAGACUCUUAAGCCAUUUGUAGACUAGCAGUUGUGCGUUUUUCUCUAACACGAAGCUUGCUCUUGGUUUUACGACCCGUGACUCAUCAUAAACCAACUCUAUAUUUUUACGGUUACAGUAUAAAGCUAUAUCCAAUCUAGCCUUGAUGUUGUCCUUUGUCUUCCCCUUCACAUCCAUGACGGUGUUGAAAAUGUUCUCAAACAUGUUCUUUUCGAUGUGCAUGACGUCAAGGUUAUGGCGGAGCAGAUUGGUCUUCCAAUAAGGAAGCUCCAAAAAAAUACUUCGCUUUACCCAAUUAUGGGUCAAACCAAAACCAGGAAACUUUUGCUUACCUGAUUGAAGGCCAAACACAAUGUCACCGUACUCUGAGACAACAUCAUGCAAUUCUUCACCAGAAAGACGCGGGGAUGCAACAUCUUUUUCAACUCUGCCAACAAAGAAAUCUUUUCUGUUCUUUCUGUACCUGUGAUUAAGUGGCAAGAAGCGACGGUGACAGUCAAAAAAAGAAGCUUUACCUCCAUUUGCUAGCGUGAAUGCCUUGUUGUUUUCCAUGCAGUAUGGACAUGCGAGUUUCCCAUGCGUGCUCCAACUAGAAAGCAUUCCAUAAGCUGGAAAAUCAUUGAUAGUCCACAUCAAAGCCGCCCUCAUAAGGAAAUUUUGUUUCCUCGAUAUAUCAUAAGUCAGAGCUCCGGAGGACCACAACUGCGCCAACUCAUCAAUCAACGGUCGAAGACAAACAUCUAUAUUCCGCCCCGGGCUUCUUGGACCGGGUAUGACAGUAGAUAAAAACAUGAACUCCGGCCUCAUACACAUUCCCAGUGGCAAGUUAUAAACUGUGAGUAUGACCGGCCAACAAGAAUAAGGAGCAGCAAUUGACCCAAAUGGGUUGAAUCCGUCUGUACACAACCCAAGACGCACAUUCCUUGAUUUAGCUGAAAAGUGAGGAUGAACACUGUUAAAGCGUUUCCACGCUUCGCCGUCAGAAGGAUGAACCAUCACUCCAUCAACCGCAUGGUGUGCUUGGUGCCAUGUCAUGUGCUCAGCAGUCCUUGGUGACAUGAAUAACCUCUGCAGUCUAGGUGUGAUCGGGAAGUAUCUAAGUUUUUUAUAUGCCACUAGAGUCUUUCCCCUGCCAGUUCUAGGUUUGCAACGGGAAUGCCCGCAUGUCAUGCACUCGGUCAUCUCAGCGUUUUCAAGGUAGUAUAACAUGCAGAAGUUAGGGCACAUGUCAAUUUUUUGGUAUCCUAAACCGAGGGGUUGCAUCAUGGACUUCGCAGCAUAGAAGUUCUCUUUCAGCCUGUUCCCUUCAGGUAAAAUGCUUCUUGCCCAUUCAAUAAUCUUGUCAUACCCGGCCUCACUUAACCCGUGAUCUGACUUGAUGGUGAACACCUGUGCUACGGCCGAUAAUUUACUGUGGUUCGUGCAGCCAUCCCAUAAUGGUUCAUCAGAAUCUUUCAACAAAUCAAAAAACCUAGUUGCAUCUCCAUUAGGUUCUUCUUCUACGAUUGGACAUUGACUGACAUUACCUUGAUUCAUUCUCAUUGCAUCCAUAACCAUAUUUCUGUAAGGAUUAGUGUUCUCAUUUGCCGCUUCAUGCACGUUGCUAGCUCUAGAAGUAGACCCAACCACCGUUUCUUCCAUUCUCCUCUCACUCUCGCUAACAAAUACUUCUCCAUGUGCAUACCAACACUGGUAAUUCUCCAUAAACCCUUUGCGAAGAAGAUGCAUCAUUACAACAUCUGGAUGCAGAUACUUUUUAUUUUGACACUUCCUGCAUGGACACCUAAUACCGCCUCCAGUAAAAUUUCUAGGAAUAGAUGUUGCGAAAUUAAUAAAACCCUGAACCCCGUUACAAUAAUCCAUCCUCCGCAAUCCUUGGGGUGAAUCUCGAUACAUUCAUGAACGAUCAUCCAUGAUUUAUAUCGAACCUCUAUAAAAUUAUGAUGACAUAAUUUAUUAAUUAACUAAGUUAGGUAAAUAAACUUGCAAAAAUAUUACUUUACCUCGAGAUUAUCCAACAAACCAAUCACAACUUCUCAUAAAUAUUAAAUAUUCAUUAGCAUUUAUCAAUGUCCAUACAAAUUAAAAUAUAUAAAUUUACAGAAAUUACCACUCCGCAAUACCAUUGACAAAACUUUAAACGGACCCAUUAAGUAAGCUAUUAAUUAUUUCAAAACAGCACAUGUACUUCGGUAGUUCCAUAAAGUUUUAACGGUUUACAAACAAAUACAAUCUUACAAAAUCUAAAAUAAACCAUAACAGGUAUAGAAUUAUACAUUCAUAUACUACAAGUUUGUUUGAGAAAUAACAAUAAAACAUAUACAUUUACUAACAAAAUACAUAUACUAAAAAAACGAUAAAAUUGACAUUUAAUUAAAUGUUAAAAUUUAAAAAGAAAGAAUUACUUACAAAAAUUGAUAAAAUCCUUCGGUAAAUCAAAACACGGAUGCUGUGACCACAAAACUUCAAGAAAUAUAACUUGUUGUGCUGAUAUGAGGGAGAUUUUUGUUUGGGGGGAGGGGGGGCUGGUUGUUUGCAGAUGGGGAGAGUUGGGAUUAGGAAGAAGAAGGAGAAAUAGGGGAGGAGAGGGUCGGUGGACAUAUAUUAACUUUCACCGACGGAAUAUCCGUCGGUUAAACCGUUGAUGAUUCUGACGGAACAAUCGACACGUCACCGCACGGAUCUGCCAUUUCAAAUCCGUCAGCGAUUCCGUCGGCAAUAUAAACGGCGGUCACUGUACGGGCUGUCUUUUUGAAUCCGUCGGUGAUUCCGUCUGAAAAAAUAACCCGCCAAAACCUCCACGUCAGCGACCCGUUUUUUUUUUUAUGACGAAAACGUUUCCGUCCAUAAUUCAGUCGGUAACUACCGACGGAAAUUGUCUGUCGGUAGUUACUGACUGAAUUACGGAUGGAAUAUUGUCCGUCGGUAAUUUUGACCUCAAAGUACCGACAGAAAUAUUCCGUCAGUAAAUCCGUUGCUAUUUAGCGAAUUUCUGGUAGUGUUUGGAGUAAAUAUAAUUUAGUCCUUGAUUUAAUUUUCUUAAUUGAGUCCGGUGUAUGAUGACACCAACCUGAGGUCAAUUUUCAGCUCUAUAAAUUAUCUAGCUAGUUGUGCUUGCUGAGAGAGCAAUUAGCCAUGGAGAAUGGGACGAGCAAGAUCCUCAUAUUUGGGGGAACUGGCUACUUAGGCAAGUAUAUGGUGAAAGCAAGUGUUUCAAUGGGUCACAAAACUUACGUAUAUGCUCGUCCCAUCACCACACAAUCUUCUCCUGCUAAAAUAGGCAUCCGCAAGGAAUUCCAAGCCAUGGGGGUCACCAUUGUUCAAGUAUCUAUUGAUUAAUCUAAUUACCCCUUCGUUUUCUAAUUUACCAACAUUCAUCUUGAUUACCCUUCAAUCUACAUGUACGUGUUCAAAAGAAUGACGUUAUAUAACUAAAUAGUUUUCAAGUGUUGCAGGGAGAAUUCGAUGAGCAGGAGAAACUUGUAUCGGUUCUUCGUCAUGUGGAUGUAGUAAUCUCCACAGUAGCUUAUCCUCAGGUUCUCGACCAACUUAAAAUCAUAGAAGCCAUAAAAGUUGCUGGUAAUAUAAAGGUAUAUAUCCUCUUGUUAAAGUAUAACAAUUUGGAGAAUGUUAUAUAUAGUUAUGUGCAUGUAUGGUGGUGGGAUAGCUAAGCUUGUGCAUGUAAUUUUCUGUGCAUACUAGAGGUUCUUUCCGUCAGACUUUGGAGUUGAAGAGGACAGAGUGACUCCCUUGCCCCCAUUUGAAGCUUUCCUUGAGAAGAAGAGGAAGAUUAGAAGGGCCACAGAGGAAGCCGGAAUCCCUUACACUUUUGUGUCAGCAAAUUGCUUUGGUGCAUAUUUUGUCAAUUACUUGCUCCGUCCACAUGAGCAACCUCAAGAUAUCUCUGUCUAUGGCUCUGGUGAAGCUAAGGGUACGAAAACAUCCAUUCCAUUCAUUCAUUAUCGUCAUUGUGUAAAUAAAAAUCCAAAUUUACUGUACACGUACACUACAUCAGUAUCUAUAUAUUAUGUUUAACAGCGGUGAUAAACUAUGAAGAAGAUAUAGCCAUGUACACCAUCAAAAUAGCUGAUGACCCCGAAACAUGCAAUCGAGUUGUAAUCUAUCGGCCGCAGAAGAACAUUGUAACUCAGCUUGAACUUAUUUCCCUUUGGGAGAAGAAGACUGGAAAGACAUUUAAUAGGAUUUACGUCCCUGAGGAUGAGAUAGUGAAGCUCUCUAAGAGUAAGAAAUUUCUGUUGACUCGUUAUUUUUUAAUAUUUGAUAUAUUUUGGCUUCUUGCCCUUUUCAUUUGAUUAAUGGGAUUCUUCCAUUCUAUAUAUAUAUAAAAUAUGUGUUGUUAGAAAAAAUGUCCUAUAUAAUUUUUUUUUAUCCCAAACUACAUUGUCAGGUGAUUUCUUUUCACCUUUUAAAAGCAUUUGACUUCUUGCUAACAUCUGUUGCAGCCCUUCCACAUCCACAAAAUAUUCCAGUUUCUAUUCUUCACAGUUUGUUCGUGAAGGGUGACAUGAUGGGGUUUGAACUGGGAGAGGAUGACUUGGAGGCUUCUGGGCUAUAUCCAGACCUGGAAUUUAGAACAAGCGAUCAACUUCUUGAUAUUUUUCUCACUAGCCCUCCAGAUCCUGCAGCUGCUGCUUUUGAAUGAGUUUUCUGAUC
Molecule: long non-coding RNA, 13641 nt
Filed under: Populus trichocarpa (black cottonwood)
Lineage: Eukaryota; Viridiplantae; Streptophyta; Magnoliopsida; Malpighiales; Salicaceae
Description: long non-coding RNA (PTRI_LNC003115)
Source: RNAcentral